GAUGAACGCUGGCGGCGUGCCUAAUACAUGCAAGUCGAACGGAGCUCGGUUGGAAAGUUCUUCGGAACCGGAAUUCUGAGCUUAGUGGCGGACGGGUGAGUAACGCGUGAGCAAUCUGCCUUUGAGAGGGGAAUAACAGUCGGAAACGACUGCUAACACCGCAUAAUGCAUCGAGAUCGCAUGGUCAUGAUGCCAAAGAUUUUAUCGCUCAAAGAUGAGCUCGCGUCCCAUUAGCUAGUUGGCGGGGUAACGGCCCACCAAGGCGACGAUGGGUAGCCGGACUGAGAGGAUGAACGGCCACAUUGGGACUGAGAUACGGCCCAGACUCCUACGGGAGGCAGCAGUGGGGAAUAUUGGGCAAUGGGGGAAACCCUGACCCAGCAACGCCGCGUGAAGGAAGAAGGCCCUCGGGUUGUAAACUUCUUUUACCAGGGACGAAGAAAGUGACGGUACCUGGAGAAAAAGCAAACGGCUAACUACGUG
This 483-nucleotide ribosomal RNA is filed under the name uncultured bacterium. RNAcentral's name for it is "bacterial SSU rRNA". It matches the Rfam family "Bacterial small subunit ribosomal RNA", at positions 28 to 507 of the family's 1533-position model. The record is from RNAcentral.